AAUUCAGACUGAAAACACAGUAACUCCUCUGGCCCUUGCUGGGAAAUGUCCUGCCCAGGCCAUGGGCAGCACUCCAGCGCAGCUGACCUCCCACAAGGCCCCCAAACACAUGAUCCCACCAAAGGCUUGAACAGGGGAACCUCACAAGCAGGCAGAGAGCACACCUGAGACACAAGGACAAGUAAGUCAAGCAAAUGGGACUGAGAUUAAAGCCAGUGAAUAAAACUAAAGGUCACUUUACAGGAGUAUAAAGCUACAGUGGACAUAACGUGGCAUAGGUGAUCUUGACACCACAGAACUGUGAAGCCUGCAAUCCUACAAUAUAGAGGGGUAUGAGGAAGACAUCUCAGGAUACUGAAGAGUGUUGCAGAGGACCCACAAAUAGUCCUGAGCAUGAGAUGGUGGACAACAAACCCAUUUUUGGUGUGUUGCAGCAAGAGCACUGGCCUGCCAUGAUCUGCUACAUUCUACCUGGAAAUACAAGUCAGAAGUCAGCCUGUCAUAUUUUUUCAAAAGGUGACUUGUCAAAAUGAGACUUCUUUCAUAAAAUCAGUCUGGUUGGGCAUGGUGGCUCACGCCUGUAAUCCUAACACUUUGGGAGGCUGAAGUAGGUGGAUGGCUUGAGCCCAGGAGUUUGAGACCAGCCUGGGCAACAUGGCAAAAUCCCAUCUCUACAAAAAAAUACAAAAAUUAGCCGGGCGUAGUGUCACACACCUGUGGUCCCAGCUACUCAGGAGACUGAGAUGGGAGGAUCACCUGAGCCCAGGAGGUUAAGGCUGCAGUGAGCCAGGAUUGGGCCACUGCACUACAGCAUGGGUGACAGAGUGAAAUGCUGUCUCAAAAAACAACAACAAAAAAUCUCUCAAUCUGUCCAAAUAGAUUGUCUUCAGUAAUCUUUCCAUCGCGAUCUUGCUUUGUUUCUACUACUACUCUGAUGCUACAUAAUUAAGGUCACCAAUCGUUGUCACUGUCUUUCCAAACCUGUUGUUCCUUACUUCCUCCGGCCAUUCUUCCUUGUCCCCCUCCCAUUCAUCAUCCAGACACACACACACACACACACACACACAAAAAAAAAACAUACAUUUUAACAAUACCGAACUCCUUGUAGUUCCCCUAAAUGAAUCAUGUUGUUUCCCUUACCUGAAAUGCCCAAUCCCUUUUUUAUUUUCAUUGCUAACUCCUCUCAUCUUUCCAGAGUGUUCAUGUCUACCAGGAGUGUUCUUGUCCCUCCCAUUCCUUUCUACUCUAGCUCCACUCACAGUUCUGUGUAAUCCCAUCUUGUGGACUACCCCGUGUUAAAAAGAUUUGUUUACUGAUUUGAUUCUUCCCUCCACUACACCCCCCCAUAACACAAAAUGAGCCCCUUAAAAGCAGAAAUGUUGCCUCACUGGUCUCCAGCACCCAGUGGAGUAUUUGGUAUGAAUGUCGGUCGAACUGUACUCUCUCCAGUGUGCAUUUUGUUCCAGGAAGACUAGGUAAUAGCAGGACCAUUAGAAGCCUCAUCUUCAGGGCUGUUUGACAUUGAUUUUUUAAAAAAUACAUUUCCUGAGGUCUCACUAGUGCCAGAAUAUGAAAAAAAUAAUCAUUCUUCUCUGACUAAAGUGGAAUCACCAGUGAUUUAUUCUCUCCUUAAUCAGUAAUACUAGCUAACAUUUAUAUAGCCCUCACUAGGUCCCAAGCACUUUGAACAUAUCAUCUUAAUUCAUGUCUAUAACCACCUGCAGGUAGGCACUGUUGUUACCCUCCAAUUUACAAAGGAGGAAACUGAAGUGCAGGGAGGUUAAGUAAGUGGCAAGCUAGAAUCUGGAUACAGGUUGUCUGGUUCCAGGGACCAGGCAGUUAGCCAUUAUGCUAUGCGGCAUGAUUUCUUGCUUUCCUUGCCCUUUUUUCUUAAAUGUUUAAUUACAUAAGUAGCAUAUCAAUACAUUUAAAUUGUCAAAAAUUCAGAAACAAAGCAAAAACUCACUACUAUUUGAUGGGUAUCUUUCAAGAUCUUUUUCUUUGUUUAUGUACAUAUAUACAUUAUGUGUGUGUACAUAUACACAAAGAAAUAUGUAUUUUUAUGUAACUGGAUUAUGCUUUAUUUUUCUAUAGAUUUGUUUUCAUUUAACAAUUUGUCUUAAAGGUCUUUUCAUAUCGAUGCAUAUUGAUCUAUUUUAUUCUUUGAAUGUUGCAUAGUAUGGAUAUAUUCCAUAGAAUGGGUGUAAUAUAGUUUAGGUAACCAUUUUUCUUUUGCGAGUCAUUUAUGUUGUUUCUGAUUUCACUGUUACAAACGAGGCUGCACUGAGUAUCCUUGAACAUGUCUCUUCACAUUCAUGCAACUAUAUGUCUAGGAAAGAUCCUCAGAAACAAAAUUGUUGGGAUGAAG
RNAcentral lists this long non-coding RNA (2368 nucleotides) under Pan troglodytes (chimpanzee). Its description in RNAcentral is "lincRNA". Lineage: Eukaryota; Metazoa; Chordata; Mammalia; Primates; Hominidae. The record is from RNAcentral.